GUGGGGAAUCUUCCGCAAUGGACGAAAGUCUGACGGAGCAACGCCGCGUGAGUGAAGAAGGUCUUCGGAUCGUAAAGCUCUGUUGUACGGGACGAAUGUUGGAGGCGUGAAUAAUGCCAUCAAAUGACGGUACUGUACGAGGAAGCCACGGCUAACUACGUGCCAGCAGCCGCGGUAAUACGUAGGUGGCGAGCGUUGUCCGGAAUUAUUGGGCGUAAAGGGAGCGCAGGUGGGAAGGUAAGUCUGUUUUAAAAGCGUCGGGCUCAACCCGAUGAGGGAACAGAAACUAUUUUUCUUGAGUGCAGGAGAGGAAAGCGGAAUUCCUAGUGUAGCGGUGAAAUGCGUAGAUAUUAGGAAGAACACCAGUGGCGAAGGCGACUUUCUGGACGAAAACUGACGCUGAGGCGCGAAAGCCAGGGGAGCGAACGGGAUUAGAUACCCCUGUAGUCC
This 450-nucleotide ribosomal RNA is filed under the name uncultured bacterium. RNAcentral's name for it is "partial 16S ribosomal RNA". It matches the Rfam family "Bacterial small subunit ribosomal RNA", at positions 354 to 796 of the family's 1533-position model. The record is from RNAcentral.